Molecule: long non-coding RNA, 283 nt
Filed under: Phoenix dactylifera (date palm)
Lineage: Eukaryota; Viridiplantae; Streptophyta; Magnoliopsida; Arecales; Arecaceae
Description: long non-coding RNA (PDAC_LNC014459)
Source: RNAcentral
CAACUCCGUAUUUCCACACUCCUGUCACCUUCUACCAGAAUAUUUUCAACAGGCUCAACAGGCUUCCUCAUUCUGCAAACAAACAAUGCAAAAGAUUAAUGAUAUUUAAUACUGGAAAUUUUUUCCAAUUAUCUGAGAUAAUCUAGACUACUUGGGUUGGGGUCAUGAAAGGAAUGGAACAUGGAUAAUAAAUAAGGGGAAUUCAGUGACAAGAUGUGGCCACUGGGUUAUGCCUUCAUAGAAGUGUCACAAACCACCUUUUUUCUUUAUAUAUUCUUGAUUC